AACAGUGCCUUCAGACCUCCCAGGGCAGUAGGAGGUCACUCUGGCCUGGUCAACAGCCCCCGAGAGGAAUCAAGCUCAGCCCUCCUCCUCAGCCCAGACAAGAGCUCAGACCUCUCGGUGUGGCCAGGGCCCCGAUGGAGGAAGGCACGAAGGAGACGCCUGAAGCGGCUUGCACAAUCCAGGAAUGCUGCCUGGUGGAGGUGACAGCGAAGUUGUCAAAAGCGCUUUCUACCUGCGGGUGACCCUGAGGAUUUGCACAGUCUGGAACUCCGUGCACGCGGCGGGUGCACUGCCAACGUUGGGAGAAUGUCACCAGCAGAAAUCCUGGCAUGUAAAAAACAGAUGCCAUCACCCUCCCGCCUGAACCCCUUUUACAGAUGGGGCAAAAAGAGGCUGGCCUCAGAGGACCAGGCGGCCUGACCGGCGACCCUUGGCUCAAGGAAAAUCCCUGCACCCCGAAUUCUGUGCAGGUCCCCGGGAAGCAGGCCGGGGACUUCCCAGCCAGUCCUGCCGUCGGCUCAGAGCCAGUGCUGCGGAAGACGCCCAGCCCAGAAGCAGGGGCCCAGGUCGGUACCAGUCAAGGCUCCCCAGAGGAACAGAACCAGUAGGAUACAUAGAGACACAUCUAAGAGGAGUUUUAUCAUAGGAAUCCGCUCACAAGGUCACGGAGGCCGAGGAGCCCCACGAUCUGCCACCUGCGAGCUGGAGACCCAGCAAAGCUGAAGGGUGGUCGGGUGGAGUCGGAAGAUCGGAGGGCCGGGAGCGCCCGUGUCUGCGGGCGGCAGAAGGUGGAUGUCUCAGCUGAAGCGCAGAGCGCAAAUCCGCCCUUCCUCCCCCCUCAGUGGAGGUGGACUGGGGGGUGCCCCCCACAUCGGGGAGCACAGCCCUGCUUCGUUCCGUCCACCGCUUGAAGUGCUGAUCGCUUCCGGAGACACCCGCACACGCACAGCCAGAGAGUGUUCCACGAGCCAACCGGCAUCCCCGAGCGCAGCUGGGAAGACACACGAAAUUGACCAUCACGAGGCUCCGACUCUGACUCUGUCACAAAACACCAUGAGCCCCGAGGCGGUCAGCCGCCGGUUCCAAAGCCCUCACGUGUGCCCAGCCCUUCCUCUGCUGGGGGUGGGGACCCAGCAGUGAAAAUAAACGACCCUUCCCCCUUCAAGGACCCCGCAGUCCAGUAGAACGUGCGGGUUAGUCCUUCCCUCUGGGAACACUGCAUCAGGGUCAGCCGGGUUGCGGCACAGGGCUCGCACCUGUCACCCUCCCCCGCCAUGGCGGCAGAUGACAUCACCAGUCCACUGGGGGCCCCCUUCCCUCAGCCAGAGGGCCCCUUCCCCUCCCUCCAGGGGGCCCUGCAGGCAGCUGUGGUCACAUCUGCCAAACCUACGUGCCGUCCUGACGACUUGGAAGGUCUGCCCAAGAUCCCAUUACUUUGGGGUAGAGUUAAAGUCCCACCCAGCUGACCGCUUUGUCACUUUGCCCUCACUCUCUGGGCCUUUCCUCCAUGUGCUCACUACAUGCUAUUAUCACCUCGGAUUGUAAUUGUUAGGUCAGCCAGCAGCCGCCUGGUUUCCUCCAUCGACAGCAAGCUCACUGCCUCUGGUGAUGAAGUUCUUUAUGUUGGUCCCAAAUCCCUCCCAGGCCCUGGUUCAUGACUCACGCUUGACUUGAAAGGCACAAUGUCAACCGAUAACUAACAGCUGUUUUCUGUGGACUGAAACCCCACUCCCCUGGGUCCGAAACCCACCCGGCCCCCAGCAUGGCUCAGCGCAUGACUGAAUGAAUUAACCACAGCAACUGUGUAAAGCCUUGGCGGGUUCUCUUUUCCCUGUUUCAACAGAGAAACUGAGUCCCGGAGAGUCAAGAGUCUGCAGACCAUGGCAGAGGGGAUGUUGGAAGCCAUGCUCCCUUCUACCGAGACCCUUGCUCCUUCUGAGAGCACAUUCCGCAGAGGCAGAAACAAACACCCACCCCUCCAAGCCCGUCGGCCCCACGUGCACACAGGCUUUUCCUUCCAGAACCUUCUCUGUCUGCUUCCUCCCUUCCCACCAUCUGGGAUGGAAGCCUGCACUUGAACUGCCCGUUCCCAUAGUUGUUCCCCAAAGACAGUGGCCUGACUUUGUGUUGACACUCACAGCACAUGAUAAAGGAUAAAAGAUUUGGAGCCACCCUUGAGGGCCAGCAGGGGGAAGGACUCUGUGAGAACAGCCAUCUGGAGAGAGAUAAGGGGAAGGCACAGCAAGAAGAGACAAUGCCAGGAGCUCCUUAAAGAAGAAAGACAGCAUUUCCCUGCAGGUGCUUAGCAGCAGCUGUUGAAGCUGUUAUUCCGGGCAGGGCCAGAAUAUCUACAAUCAAAAUGUCAGGCUCGGGGAUUCCAAUCCUGGUCUGAUUGACACACUGCAGGAUCCCAAGAGCAGCGUCCGCAGAAGGGCAGUGAGCAGUGAGGACGUGAGUAAAUGCUGGUAGUGGUGGUGGUGGCAGUGGUUGCUCUACGCUGCACCGAAGCAGAGUGGCACAGAAGCUGGCUCCUGGAAUCGGUGUAGGAUUCUGUACUCUCCACCAGGCUUUCCCUGAGUGUGUCCCCCGUGCAGCCUUGGGCACAGAAAGGAGUAGAGAUCCGAGCCUGACUUGAUGGGAUUUAGAUGCUGGAAUGGUUAAGACUUUGGGGGAUAUAGGGAUAGUGUGAAUGUACUUUGCAUAUAAGAAGGACAUGAAUUUGGGGGGCCAGAGGGCAGAUUGUUAUGGGUUAAGUGGUAUCCCAUUGAAAGAUACAUUGAAGUCCUAAGCCCCAGUGCCUGUCAAAGCGACCUUUUUGGGAAUGGAGUCCUUGCAGAUGUUAAUUAGUUAAGAUGAGGUCAUACUGGAGUCGAGUGGGCUCUAAUCCAAUAUGACUGGUGUCCUUAAAAGAAGAGGAAA
Acinonyx jubatus (cheetah) is the source of this 2919-nucleotide long non-coding RNA. RefSeq lists it as uncharacterized. The transcript is spliced from 3 exons. The record is from RefSeq and is a predicted model, not a curated record. NCBI's taxonomy places the organism in Eukaryota, Metazoa, Chordata, Mammalia, Carnivora, Felidae.